UACGUAGGGGGCAAGCGUUGUCCGGAAUCAUUGGGCGUAAAGCGCGUGUAGGCGGCUUUGCAAGUCGGGUGUGAAAGCCCUCGGCUCAACCGAGGAAGUGCGCCCGAAACUGUAGAGCUUGAGUACCGGAGAGGGUGGCGGAAUUCCCCAAGUAGAGGUGAAAUUCGUAGAUAUGGGGAGGAACACCGGUGGCGAAGGCGGCCACCUGGACGGAUACUGACGCUGAGACGCGAAAGCGUGGGGAGCAAACAGG
RNAcentral lists this ribosomal RNA (253 nucleotides) under uncultured bacterium. RNAcentral describes it as "partial 16S ribosomal RNA". It matches the Rfam family "Bacterial small subunit ribosomal RNA", at positions 524 to 776 of the family's 1533-position model. The record is from RNAcentral.